Molecule: ribosomal RNA, 253 nt
Filed under: uncultured bacterium
Lineage: Bacteria
Description: partial 16S ribosomal RNA
Rfam family: Bacterial small subunit ribosomal RNA
Source: RNAcentral
UACGUAGGGGGCAAGCGUUGUCCGGAUUUAUUGGGCGUAAAGAGCGUGUAGGCGGCCAGGUAGGUCGGUUGUGAAAACUCGAGGCUCAACCUCGAGAUGUCGACCGAAACCAUCUGGCUAGAGUCCGGAAGAGGAGAAUGGAAUUCCCGGUGUAGCGGUGAAAUGCGCAGAUAUCGGGAAGAACACCCGUGGCGAAGGCGGUUCUCUGGGACGGUACUGACGCUGAGACGCGAAAGCGUGGGGAUCAAACAGG